Molecule: signal recognition particle RNA, 299 nt
Filed under: Microcebus murinus (gray mouse lemur)
Lineage: Eukaryota; Metazoa; Chordata; Mammalia; Primates; Cheirogaleidae
Description: Metazoan signal recognition particle RNA (ENSMICG00000042989.1)
Rfam family: Metazoan signal recognition particle RNA
About the family: The signal recognition particle (SRP) is a universally conserved ribonucleoprotein. It is involved in the co-translational targeting of proteins to membranes.
Source: RNAcentral
GACGGACGCGGUGGCGCGGGCCUGUAGUCCCAGCUACUCGGGAGGCUGAGACGGGAGGAUCGCUUGAGCCCAGGAGUUCUGGGCUGUAGUGCGCUAUGCCGAUCAGGUGUCCGCACUAAGUUCGGCAUCAAUAUGGUGACCUCCCGGGAGCGGGGGACCACCAGGUUGCCUAAGGAGGGGUGAACCGGCCCAGGUCGGAAACAGAGCAGGUCAAAACUCCCGUGCUGAUCAGUAGUGGGAUCGCGCCUGUGAAUAGCCACUGCACUCCAGCCUGGGCAACAUAGCGAGACCCCGUCUCU